RNAcentral lists this ribosomal RNA (301 nucleotides) under uncultured bacterium. RNAcentral's name for it is "partial 16S ribosomal RNA". It matches the Rfam family "Bacterial small subunit ribosomal RNA", at positions 509 to 807 of the family's 1533-position model. The record is from RNAcentral.
CAGUCGCCGCGGUAAUACGAAGGGGGCGAGCGUUGCUCGGAAUGACUGGGCGUAAAGGGCGCGUAGGUGGUACGGACAGUCAGAUGUGAAAUUCCCGGGCUCAACCUGGGGGCUGCAUUUGAUACGUCCGAACUAGAGUGUGGAAGAGGGUCGUGGAAUUCCCAGUGUAGAGGUGAAAUUCGUAGAUAUUGGGAAGAACACCGGUGGCGAAGGCGGCGACCUGGUCCAUUACUGACGCUGAGGCGCGAAAGCGUGGGGAGCAAACAGGAUUAGAUACCCGCGUAGUCCCUGUCUCUUAUAC